UACGUAGGGUGCGAGCGUUGUCCGGAAUUACUGGGCGUAAAGAGCUCGUAGGCGGUGUGUCGCGUCGGCCGUGAAAACCUGCAGCUUAACUGUGGGCGUGCGGUCGAUACGGGCAUCACUGGAGUUCGGCAGGGGAGACUGGAAUUCCUGGUGUAGCGGUGAAAUGCGCAGAUAUCAGGAGGAACACCGGUGGCGAAGGCGGGUCUCUGGGCCGGAACUGACGCUAAGGAGCGAAAGCGUGGGGAGCGAACAGG
This 254-nucleotide ribosomal RNA is filed under the name uncultured bacterium. RNAcentral describes it as "partial 16S ribosomal RNA". It matches the Rfam family "Bacterial small subunit ribosomal RNA", at positions 524 to 776 of the family's 1533-position model. The record is from RNAcentral.